UAUUUAUCACUCAAACUUUUCUCUCUUUCUUGUUAGUCUUGUAAGUCUUGUAAGUACACUUACAAGCUUGAUUGUUUCAAAGAAGAAAGACCAUGGACAUUGAAGAUCAACAAAGAUCUAAAUCUAGUCAAACAAAGAGCUGUGCUAUUUGUACAACAACAAAGACUCCUCUUUGGAGAGGAGGCCCUUCUGGUCCCAAAACACUGUGUAAUGCAUGUGGGAUAAAGUAUAGAAAGAAGAAAGAAAAGAACAAUGGAAGUGGAAGAAUAAUGAAAGUUGGGAUGUGGAAUUUUGGAAGUGAUUUAUUGUUGAAAAAAAGGUCUUUUAUUAACAAAAGUAUGAUGAUGAUGAUGAAGAAGAAGAGGGUAUUAAGAGAAGAUGAAGAAGCUGCUGUUCUUUUAAUGGCUUUGUCUUGUGGAUUUCAUGAUCUUUUUUUAAUGGAUCAUUAGAUCUAUUUAUAUUUUAAUUAUAUUGUUUUUUUUUCAUUGAUGUUUGU
Molecule: long non-coding RNA, 496 nt
Organism: Dioscorea cayenensis subsp. rotundata (Guinea yam)
Lineage: Eukaryota; Viridiplantae; Streptophyta; Magnoliopsida; Dioscoreales; Dioscoreaceae
Exons: 3
Source: RefSeq, a predicted model, not a curated record